AACGAACGCUGGCGGCAGGCUUAACACAUGCAAGUCGAGCGCAUCCUUCGGGGUGAUCGGCGGACGGGUGAGUAACGCGUGGGAACGUUCCCUCUUCUACGGAAUAGCCUCGGGAAACUGAGAGUAAUGCCGUAUACGCCCGCAAGGGGAAAGAUUUAUCGGACGAGGAUCUGCCCGCGUGGGAUUAGGUCGUUGGUGGGGUAACGGCCUACCAAGCCGACGAUCAAUAGCUUGGUUGUGAGGAAGGUCACCCACUCUUGGACUGAGACACGGCCCAGACUCCUACGGGAGGCAGCAGUGGGGAAUCGUGGAAAAUCGGGGCAAUGCUGAUCCAGCCAUGACGGGUGAUCGCUGAAGGCCUUAGGGUUGUAAAGAUCUUGCAGCUGGGAAGAUAAUGACGGUACCAGCAGAAGAAGCCACGGCUAACUACGUG
Molecule: ribosomal RNA, 433 nt
Filed under: uncultured bacterium
Lineage: Bacteria
Description: partial 16S ribosomal RNA
Rfam family: Bacterial small subunit ribosomal RNA
Source: RNAcentral